RNAcentral lists this ribosomal RNA (414 nucleotides) under uncultured soil bacterium. RNAcentral describes it as "bacterial SSU rRNA". It matches the Rfam family "Bacterial small subunit ribosomal RNA", at positions 26 to 453 of the family's 1533-position model. The record is from RNAcentral.
AGAUUGAACGCUGGCGGCAUGCCUUACACAUGCAAGUCGAACGGCAGCGCGGGGCAACCUGGCGGCGAGUGGCGAACGGGUGAGUAAUAUAUCGGAACGUACCCUGGAGUGGGGGAUAACGCAGCGAAAGUUGCGCUAAUACCGCAUACGAUCUAAGGAUGAAAGCAGGGGACCGCAAGGCCUUGUGCUCCUGGAGCGGCCGAUAUCUGAUUAGCUAGGUUGGUGGGGUAAAGGCCUACCAAGGCAUCGAUCAGUAGCUGGUCUGAGAGGACGACCAGCCACACUGGAACUGAGACACGGUCCAGACUCCUACGGGAGCAGCGAGGUGGGAAUUUGGACAAGUGGGACGAAAGCCUGAUCCAGACAAUGCCGCGUGGAGUAGGAAGAACGGUCCGUUACGGUUAGGUAAACGAC